CAAUCUGUGAUUUGGUCUGGUUACAUAACCUCUCCAAAACAACCUCAAAAAAAUUGGAAAAUCUUUCUAACAAUUGUCUGAAACACAAUAAGCCAUGCACACCGAGUUAUGUAAUAUGUGAGUGAAUGGCCAGGAAGGAUAUCUGAAGGGAGUUAUAGUAUUCCCUCCUGCACCCAAACCUGUGGCCCCCCAAAUCUGAAACAGUUAUUUGUUUAAAGAGGAACAAACACUGAUUGGUCAGGUGUCUUGGCCAGUUGGCUGCUAUAUGUGCUCUAGUUUGGAGAUGUAUUUCUAUUGCCCCCUUUGGACCACAUGGUGUUAAAGGGCCCCAGCAAUCAACGAGGACUUUGAUCAGAGAAUGGGCC
Pelobates cultripes (western spadefoot toad) is the source of this 365-nucleotide non-coding RNA. NCBI's taxonomy places the organism in Eukaryota, Metazoa, Chordata, Amphibia, Anura, Pelobatidae. The record is from the annotation of a GenBank genome assembly.